GCCGGACCGCCCCGAGCGGGCUCUGAUCGCUGUAUCCGGAGCUUCCUUCGUUUCGUGCGUCUCAAAAUGUCCGCGUCUCCUCUUUUGUAACAGUCCCCGUUGUGUCUUUGGGCUCCGCUUUAAAUAAACGCUUCGGCCGAAUGGAAAUGGCAAAAUUAGAUCAUCCGGCAUCUAAUAAAGGCUGAUGAAAUGAAGUGACUCGAGUCGUUCUUAGUGCUGUGCAACGCGUAUGGAAACCACACUUAUGUAUGGCAUCAACUACGCGAUGAGGAAGAGAGGAUUUGUAACAGUUAAAGAGUCUGAAAGCAGACGAAAACUGCUGUGGAUAUACUGAGCUUCGCUGUUCUGCAGUGGCUCGUAACUUUCCUUGAUGCGUUUCAAAAUACAGCCACAGAAUCGAAAUGUUUUGAUGCUAAAAUAAAGGUUUUGUCUCUGAUUUAAUGUUUUAGAGUGUCUCCCAAGAUGGAAUCCCAGUCCCUGACUCAGGCACAACCAACAGCAGUCCUACAGACGGCACCUAAUGAGAGCUCUCACAAACGCACAUCCCGCUGCUUCUUACUGAUGAGACCUGAUUUUUUCCUUGCUUAUUUGUGGCUCAGCAUGAAGCCCCGCUGGCCACAAGAGAAGAUGCGGGGUUGUAGCUGUUUGGUGAGACGUGCUGAAGCCGGUUGUAAGAAUUCCUGCAGCAGCAAUAAAUACUGCAUUAAUUUGGGGGGGAUUAAUGGGAUUUUUAUUUUUUUGCCUGUUGCAAUUCUGUCGAGGAUGCUUUUGUUACAUGGAGAAAAAUACCCCCAACUCUGAUUUUUGUGGUCUCAAGUGCUGCGCUUUCAAAUAAUUCCCCGUCUUUCAUGUGAUCUUGUCACCUUGCAUUAUCCUUAAGUACAAAUGCAAUACUGCUGUUUUAUCACUGAGAUUUAAUGUUUUUAAAUAAGAUGUUUUCACUCUGAAAUAUCUCUAUUUAAGGGGGAAAAAAAAAAAAGGAAUUCUUUUCCUUCUUUGGGUAUAACAAUCGUUUGAGUAAAAAAUGAAAAUCUCAGAUUAUUUUAAUCUGGUAAUUUAGUUGUUUUAACACUGAUAGCACUGCGUAUUCUUUUUGCAGAUACGAAGAGUCUUACAGCAUUCUGUGACUUUCAAAUGGGAAUAUUCACAUACAUUCACUACAAUAAUGUUGUUAAAAGAAAGAUUACUAGAAUUUGCUGCUAAUAAAGCUGAGACAUAAAACUGA
Non-coding RNA from Meleagris gallopavo (turkey), 1225 nucleotides. Lineage: Eukaryota; Metazoa; Chordata; Aves; Galliformes; Phasianidae. The record is from RefSeq and is a predicted model, not a curated record.